RNAcentral lists this ribosomal RNA (501 nucleotides) under uncultured bacterium. RNAcentral's name for it is "bacterial SSU rRNA". It matches the Rfam family "Bacterial small subunit ribosomal RNA", at positions 29 to 520 of the family's 1533-position model. The record is from RNAcentral.
AACGAACGCUGGCGGCGUGCUUAACACAUGCAAGUCGAACGCGAAGGGGAUUUCGGUCCUGAGUAGAGUGGCGCACGGGUGAGUAACGCGUAAGUUAUCUACCCCUCCAUCUGGAAUAACUCACCGAAAGGUGUGCUAAUACCGGAUACGUUGGAAACAAGAAAGGUGGCCUCUAUUUAUAUGCUACCGUGGAGGGAUGAGCUUGCGUACCAUUAGCUAGUUGGUAGGGUAAUGGCCUACCAAGGCAACGAUGGUUAGCGGGUCUGAGAGGAUGAUCCGCCACACUGGAACUGGAACACGGACCAGACUCCUACGGGAGGCAGCAGUGAGGAAUAUUGCGCAAUGGGGGAAACCCUGACGCAGCGACGCCGCGUGGAUGAUGAAGGCCCUUGGGUCGUAAAAUCCUGUCAGAUGGAAAGAAAUGCUACUACGCUAAUAUCGUAAUAGUUUGACGGUACCAUCAAAGGAAGCACCGGCUAACUCCGUGCCAGCAGCCGACGG